AGCUUUGCACAGUUGCUGUAUCAUAGUCAAUGAAGUUUAUCUGAAGUGCAAUUAUUGCUAAUUGAAAGCUUUUCCCAAUAAUUUCAAUAAGACACCAGGUUGAGUUUGGGAUAUUUGUGCAAAGAGGCCAUCGGUAAGCCUU
RNAcentral lists this small nuclear RNA (142 nucleotides) under Heterocephalus glaber (naked mole-rat). Its description in RNAcentral is "U4 spliceosomal RNA". It matches the Rfam family "U4 spliceosomal RNA". From Rfam's summary of the family: U4 small nuclear RNA (U4 snRNA) is a component of the major U2-dependent spliceosome. The record is from Rfam by way of RNAcentral. Lineage: Eukaryota; Metazoa; Chordata; Mammalia; Rodentia; Bathyergidae.